RNAcentral lists this long non-coding RNA (41752 nucleotides) under Ananas comosus (pineapple). RNAcentral describes it as "long non-coding RNA (ACOM_LNC011278)". The record is from RNAcentral. Lineage: Eukaryota; Viridiplantae; Streptophyta; Magnoliopsida; Poales; Bromeliaceae.
AAGUUGUUAGAUUUUGUUUAAAUUAAUAAACUUGUUAAAUGUAAUGUAGAGAUUGGCGAGAAAAAAAAAAUAGUUCAGUGAUAUUUAUGGGAAAAAAAAUAGUGUAAGGUAGAAAAAAAGGCUAAAUUAUAGAAGACCCUUUUAUAAGUAUUCGUUUUUUCACUUUCCCUCCCUAACUUUCAAAAACCUAUAUUUUACUCUCUCAACAUUUCAACUUGUUGCAUUUAGCCCCCCUUUGUCAGGGUUCCAUCAUUAUUCCGUACAUUUCUUAUAAUUUAUACCGAAAAUGCCCUUCAAAAUGACAGAGAUUAUUAAAAAAAUAUUUUUUUAAUAUAUAACAAUUAAGGACAAUUUGGUUAUUUCAUCCUCUCCAUUAACGCCGUACCCCCUUGAAAAUAUUUCUGAAAUUUAAGGGGGUAAAAUGUAGGUUUCUGAAAGUCGGGGAAGGAAAGUGAAAAAGCAGGUAUUUACAAUGAAAUUUUCUAUAUUUUAACCAAUAAAAAUCUAAAAUACAGUGUAGAGAUUGAUAAUAUAUAAUAUUACAAUCAUGUCUUUGAAAAAAAAAUUGUAUAAUGUUGCAAAUGAAAUAACACUAAAGUACAGUGUAGUAAGGUGUAAUUAAGCCACCAAUUUAUUACCAAGGCACAUCAAGCAGAGCUAAACUUCAGUAUCAAUGGAACAACAAUUGGUAAUCAUGAUUAUUGCAUAUCCUUCUCUGUGAUUAUAUUACUAACGAUGAAAGUUGGGGAUCAGAUUGUGAUUCAAGUACCUGAUAGAAUGCCAAACACUGUAGCACAAAUUUAUCCACAGAAUCAAGUUCCAGAUCGAGGACAGAAUCAUAGUCCCUGGCCUAAAUUAAAAGCGGAAAGAAGUACUAAUAAAGUGAAAAAACUAUCAUUGAAAUUUUCAAAGGAAAAAAGAACUACAAUUUCAAAGUGAAAAAUAUGAACCACAGCCAGUCUGAAGAUUGUCCACAAAUGAAAAUGAACAUCCAAAUAAAAAAUGAACUAUUGAAAAUUUAAACAAGCUCGGAUAUAGUUAAAUUAUUGAAAACAAUAACAAGCACCCUGUCAUAGGAAAUGCUAGGAAAUCUGAAACCCAAAUUGUGAAACAAAGUCAAAUGAAAAACUAGGUUUAUAAUGAAUAGAAGCUUACUACCUCUUGUAUUUAUUAAACUCUCAUUAGAAAAGAGCUUUUACAGGCAUAUAGAAGGUUGCGAGCUUGGAGAGAUGAUAGAGGAGAUAGUUAUGGUUAAGUGCGAUAAAUAUGGGGGGAAAAGAAGAUAAAUACCGCAGCUUUGAAAUCUCCAAUAGCAUGAUAGCAUGAGGCACGUAAAUAUAAGCAUUCAAUAUUUGAACUUUCAAAACUCAACCCAAGAGAUAAAUCUUUAAUGGCCAUCCUGCAAUAUUGAAAUACAAUAAAGGAGUAUAUCUGAGUAAUAAAGAAAAAUGGUUUAACAGAAGAAUAUUGAAAGGACAACAUUAUCAGACUGCUAUACUGAGCAAUUGUGCAUGUGAAACCAGCUUGUAAUCUGGUUAAGUGUCAUGUAAGAACUAAUUCAAGCUUCUAUCAACACAUACUUCCUCAGCAGCAAUAAAUUCUAAGUGCUUUAGAUCCUAGUUUAUCUGCUAUUGAAUUAUGCAUAAAACAUAUGGCUGAUUAUCUAAAAGCACAACAGCUGAAUCUAGUUGAGAUAAAAUGUACUGAAAAUUACAAUCAAAGUAAUACUCAAAGUAAUAAUUUUCCAACACUAAAUUGUUUGUGUUUGUAUGCAUAUGCCAUUGCACUAUUUUAACUUGUCUUAUGAAAAGGACACUAAGCUGAGUAGGCAUCAUAUAUCAAACAACAUGAUUGAACUGUAUCACGUAUUGCAUCCAGAAGGCAAUACAUCAUACAGAGCUCAUAACUUUUAAGGACAUACUUUUAGUUCUCAUUGUAUGGUGCCGUCAACUUUGGGUGCUUACAAUGCCAUUUUCUCUAGACUGUGUAUGUGGGUGAGGUGAAUCUCACUUUGAAGUUCAGGACUUUGUGCUCUGGAGCAGUCUUAUGUGUUCCCACUCUAACAAAUUGCCUCAUGCCUUAAAUAUGUAAUUAGCUAUAUGUUAUGUGACCACAGGAGAAUAACAAGAAAAAUAAGAACAUAAAUUUCACCUGUGCAGCCCCAUUCCAUGGUAGAGUAGUCCACGCAAGUGAUAUGCUUUAGCAUAGCUACAACAUUUAGCAAAAGUUUAAGAGCAAAAACAGAAUAUAAGGUGACAGAAAUUAUGGUGCAAUUGAAAGAAAUGUUAAAAAUGUCAGGAGAACCCCCCAACUAUGGUGGAUAUAGAAAUAGAUUGUCAAGUUCCCAACUUCAUUUUUUAAACGGUAAACUUCACGCAGCACGUGUGAUUUAGACUAGAACAUUUGCACUUUGCAACCUUGUGGUUUGCAAUGUUAUACUUUGCUAUCCUACGGUUUUUAUUUCACCGUAAGGACCUGCUACUAAAUAGGGUGGUAAUGUGCUACAUUUUCAACCACAAGGUAGAAAAUUGCCAAACUACAGGGUGGUAAAGUUAUACUUUAAUUUCAAUAAUUUCCAUUAAUUGGAUUGAGAUUUCAAUAAAUUUACAGCUUAGCCCCUUGUUUUAGCUAACAAAUUGAGGAUGUGGUUAACAAUUAAUAGCUAACCAAUUGAGCCGUUAAUUUUAUUGGAAUCCCCAGUUUCGAUAGAUAAUUCACAAUGAAAAAGAGCGAAAAAAAAAAAAGAGGGGUGCCAAUGAUCAGUCAAAAAGAGUAGGGGUAAAUAUUUUAAAGGUGAAAACAUAUGGAACUAACCUGACUAUGGAGCGUUUGGAUUUGGCUACUUAACUUUUCAAAAUUAUGAUUUUACUACCUAACCUUUCAAUUUGUUUGAUUUGAGUUAGCCAACAAUACUUUCACUUUAAAAUUUGAAUGCGUUAUUUAUCUUUACAAAUUUAGUUAGUAUAUUUCAUAUAAUUCUCACAACUAUAUAUUCAUUAAAGUAAGUAAUUAGCUUAAAUUUUAGAGUCAAAGUGUUGACUGACUCAAAUCAAACAAAUUGAAGAGUUGGGUAGUAAAGUCAAAAUUUUGAAAGAUUGGAUAGCCAAAUCCAAAUGCUCCAUAGUUCAAGUAAGUCCCAUACAUUUUUACCUAUUUUAAAAUGACCAAUACUUCAGGGGCUCACCAUGCCCUUUUAUGUAUAAUAAUUGGUAAAUUUACCUUUUAUCAACAAGCAAUACUUUUUCAAGGCAAUGCAAGGCCUUCUCCUGAUUCGCUAGAUCUUGGUAAUACUACAAAAUAAGGCAUAUAUGUAAUUAACGAGCACGAGUAUACACGGAAGAAAAAAAAAGGACUUAUUCCAAAGGUAUGAAAUUCAUAACUAUUGGAAAUGACAUGGUUCUACAACAAAGAUAUAAAAAUGUUCCGCAGAACAUAGUAUUUAACUUGCAACAAACAAGCUCAACUCCAAAGAGGAAUUGAAGAACUUGCCUGUGCAAACAAUGGCUCUCGUAAUUAGCAAAGAGGUGAAAAAAAUCUACAUGAUCAGAUAUCCAAAUCAAACAUUUGCAUCAGCAUGAUGUUCCCCAUAUCAAAGUAAUGAAUCCAUAAAAUCAAGUGCCUAUAGAUUUAAAGUUUAAUUGAAGAAAAGUCUUGUGAUUGGAAAUCAUGAACAAUUAAUAUAAGAAUCACUUGACAGUGUAAUGUGAAAAGUCUCACAUUUGAUCAAUUACAUUUUCAAGUCUAACUUGCAGAGUUGCAGCCAGUAUUCAUAACUUUAUACAAUGAAAGAUCGGCUACACAGAAUACAAUCAAGAGAUCAGUGGAUUGACAUACCAAAAAAUUAAGAGGAUAAAAUGGAACUUCAUUCUCACUAUUUAUUUUUCACGAGACUGCAGAUUUCAGGGAAUAUAAAGCUUACAAAGAAUAAAUCCAGAAAUAAUAGUAAACAACUAAAAAAUAUUAAGAAUAAGCUUCAAUCCAAAAAAAGGAAAGAAACAUUUAAAUAAAAGUCUACUAAGAGGCUGUGAAACAGCUACCUGGGCAAGAUGGGCCCAUCCCUCAAGAAAAUUUUCAUCAAGUUGUAUUGCUUUAAGAUGUGCCUCUUCAGCUCUUUGAUACUCACCAAUUGCUGAUAAAGCCAGACCCUACAGAGACCAUACGCAAAUUUAAGAUAAAAAGUCUAAACCAACGAUAAUUUAACCAUGUACAACAAAGUGUACCUUAAAAUAAAUACAUAUGGAACGUCAGAGACAAAAUACAACAUCACAUAAUAUUAAUAGUAAGACGGGAAAAAGGACAAAAGUUGAAAGUUCUCAUAAUCUUUGCACACCAAUAAAACAGAAACAAGUACAAAAUUAUUAUUAAUAGUAUCACAGUGAGAGCAUUGCAUGGCAUCAAACUCUAUUUGACAAGAAAAAGCAUGCAAAAAGAGAACCGAGAAAACAACAAUAUAAAUAUAUGAUAUGUUCAGAAAGUAAACUCCAGAAAUGCAAGUUAGAAACCAGAAUAGCUGUAUUAAUUAAUUCUCUAAAUGUGUAGAGGUCUGCAUCAAAGAUUAAAGGAUUUCCAUUACGAGAAAAGAGCAUGAAUUUUGUCAAGGAACAAGAUGAACCGAUUAAGGCCAUAUUGGUGGACAUUAUUGACCAUAUUGCCCUUGAAAGGAAAGAGUAGUAUAGAAAAUUUUGAACCACAAAACCAAGGCAGCAUGCCUAGGGUUAAAGAUAAGACUUGACUCUUGAUUAUAUCUGCUACAAUCAUACAAUAAGAAAAAUUAUUUGCCAGAAAAAAUAUUAAUCUUGAAUUACCAAAUAUGUGUAAGCAGAGCUGUUUUUCCUAUCGUGAUUAACACAUGCAGAAAGGUCUUCUACGGCUGCAUUGUAGUCCUUGAAUUUAAAAUUAACAAUGCCUGAAAAAUUAGAUUAGAUUAUCAAAACAUCAACUAUUUCUCAAAAUAAGAGUAGAUGUUCUACAGUGCCAUGUGAAACAGUCAACUUCCAAAAAGUAUAUAAUGUUAGCUUUCCCUGCAGUAGCUAAGCUUACUAACCUUAAAUAAAAGAUAAGAAAAAAUCAUAGCAAAAACACAAUAGAACAACCGAAUGAUGCAGCUGAUAGUCCUAAGUCGUGAGUAGCAUCUCAUCCAACGUUACUCAUGAUUUGAGUUUCAGCAGAAAACAUGAGCCCGUUAGUAAGGGGAUGGGAAAUUCAGCACUUAUCUUCCAUGAAAUAUUAAGGUUGAACUUCAACAUGCAGGAAACUAGAAAUUGUCAUCACAAAAUGUGACAAACAGACAGACACGUAUGUAUGCACUCACACAUGUAGCAGAGUUAAAAAGGGGGAGGGAGUGGGUGGGCAAGAUAAACCAGACUAAUUUCUAUUUCCAUGCUAUGAAGGAUGGAUCUAAAAUGAGAAACAUCAUUUACCGGGGCAUGAAACCAAUGGAACAAUGAUGCUAUUAUCUGGGCAAAAAGUUUGUUGCACUAACCCCUUUCAUGUAGAAUAUCACAACAACUUGGCUCAAAUUCCAAUGCCUUAGACAAGUCUUCAAUGGCCUGAAACUCAAAAUCAUAACUAAAACUUCAUAUAUAGGACGAUAAUAGAAGUCAGAUAAUAAGAGUCAGUCCAUGCUGAAAUAAACAGGGAUAAGAGUCAAGAAAUAGCUGCUUCUGAAGCACACGAUAAAAUAUAAGGAUCCACAGCAACCAUAGAAAUAUACCACUGCUGUUUUAAAUAAAGCAACCCAAGAUAGUUACACCACAAUUUACUCUUUAUAUAAAAAAAGAAUACCUUAAGAAUUAAGAAUCUAAUAUUUUGACCAAGUAAAAGAUAGACAUUAUCAACAGCCAUGGAAUUAGCAUGAUUCACAGUGUGAUAGAAAAUGUAAGAACUAGACAAUUCCAAAAUCACCAAGAGAAAGUAAUAUGAGGCUAGUUGUUUAUAUCUUAGUAGUUGUGAACAUCCUGGAAUGUUCACAAAGAUUAAUAUGAAGAAAGUUCAAUUCGGAAAGGAUGGAAUGGCCUUGCCUCCAUGAAUUCUCCAAUUGCAGCUCGUGCUUGUCCCCGCCGCUUCCAUGCUUCUCCAGCAGAUGGAUUGUAUUGUAUAGCCUAGAAAAGCACUUUUAGAAAGAAAACUGUGGAAGCCCCUUUUUUUUAACAUGGACUAUACUACCUUAGUAAAGUCGGCAAUAGCAGCGUCAAGUUCUCUUUGAAAUGCAUAAGCUGUACCUCUUCCUAUCAGAGCCUCAGGAUAUUUAGGAGUUUCUCUCAGUAUCUGUCCAUGUCAAUUAGAACAUUUAGAUGAAGUUAUUUAUCAGAUAACAAUUGUCACUAACUAAACAACCAAUCGAAGGUAUGAACCUGGUCAAAUAUGGAUAUUGCCUGGUCAUAAUUUCCUUCAUUUACCUGUUAAAGAAACGAUUAAUCUAAGUAACAUUGGCGAGAUGCAAACUAUAAAAAGUUACAUUAAGAAGACAAGCAUCUAAGCAAAAGUAGGUUUUUCAAUAAUUGUAAUGAAAGUUCAGAACAAUCUGUUAGCUACAAAGAUUAACCUACCAUUAAAAGCUCUUUACCAUGCCAAUUAAUUAUUCAUUAUUUCUUACACUUGCACAACUUAAGCAAAUUAUAAUAAAACAUAGAUUAAUGUUCACUUGUCAGAAAAAGGGGGUUCACAGGUUACCCAUGAACAUGCAGAAAGUGGCAAUGAAAAAAAUUCAUUUUAAUAAGACUAAAGCAUAGGAGUAUACCUGGCCUAUGCCACGAGAUAAUCGGAAAUCCAAGCUUAUUGACUUGCUCUUUGAGAUAUUUGUAACAAAUAGCUUAUGGUCUGGUUUUAUGGUUUCAUUGCACCUUCUGAUUAUCUCCUGGCUAUUACUAGGUUGACUGGUUAUUUCAUACAUAUCCUCUGAUCCUGAAGUAUUGUCAAUUUCAGACCCGGAAUCACUGUUCAUCAUUACUUUACUAGAUGAAUCUACAACUUGUUCUUCACAGACAACAGUUUUCAUAUCAGCCGUUGGAAUAGUGUCAGAAUGCACAACAGAGACUUCAGAUACGACAACUUUUGUAUCGCAUGGUGAUGUAUCCAAGGCAUGGUCUUGACAAACAACAGGUUUAGAUUGUUUAACACUAGCCAGAAGGUCUUCCAACUCCAGCAAUAGCUUCAGAUCUUUUGAAUCUCGAAGCGCAUGCUCAUAACCCUGCUCCCAAACAAGCGAAGCGUCCUCUUUUCUUCCCAAAGCCAAUAAAGCAUUACCUAGCAACAAGAUUUGGCAGGAUAAAUAGUGUAAUUUGAUUGAAUAAGUGCAAAAGGUAAUACUCACUGGCAUACAAAGUAUUAAAAGAACGUAGUAAGAGUUAAGCUUGUUCUGAAUUUAUUCCCAGAACCUUUUUGUGACAUCUUGCAUGUAAAAUCGCAAAUCAUACACUGCUCAAUCAUAAACUACAAAUUGUGCCAAAGGAACUGUAGGCACUGAUCUGAACUAUUGAUUUUUACGACACAUCCCAUAAUAUCUAUAUUAAGACCAAAAAACUUCACGGGCACAACAACAUUGUACAGGAAUUUUCAGACCCGCCUAAGAAUAUAGUAACUGAAUUAUCCAGUUUUCAGCUACCAUUUCUAUAGAUGCACAUCCAGAGGAGUUAAUAGUCAUAAAUAGCUGCUUAAAGAUGUUUGCAGAUCCAAAUCUUAACAAAGCUUCCAAAUAAUGCUCGAUUCAUUUUAGUUUGCUGUUCUAACAAUCAAGCAUCAGCAAACAAAUGCGUCAACUCCCCUAAGGGUCACCAUCUGAGGUUACAGAAAAAAAUUAAAGCAAGGAAUCAAUCAGAAAAGCCACUUACCUUAAGAAAAUAGAAUCCCAAUCUAAAAACCCAGUAUCAAUUAGUUCAAAAACACUACAACUUAGCGAGACCUAGUUAUGCGCGAUCGAACUAACCUUUAAGGAUGUAAGCUUGAAGAAGAGUGGGAUCGAGCUGCAACGCCUUGUCGCAAUCCUUGAUCACGUGCUUGUGGAGCUCCAAUUUGCUGUAGCAGAACGCCCGAUUACUGCAAUCACCACAGAAACUAUAAGAACUCGGAUCCAGCCCCAAAAUGACGAUAAUCUUAACCGAGAAACAAAGGAGAAGACGCCAAAAUCCAACGAAAACACGCGAUUCAGCAUGGCACCGGGAGAGAUUUAGAGAAGGGAUCAAAGAGAUCGGUUCAAAACCAGAUAUCUUGGAUGGAGCAGGAUUGGGCGAGGAGGGCAUCGAGGACGCGGAUGGCCUUGGACCAGUUGCGGGAGCCGCAGAUCUUGGCGAGCUCCGCGCGAUCGGGCGACGCCGCCAUGGUCGUUCGAUCCCUCUCCCCCCCGAUGCGAAGAGGAGAGGGUGCGUGCCCUAGCUCACCCACAGCGACGCCUCUCGCCGAGGAGAGACGAGUGAGAUCGCGGGGGACACGGAGGAAGAAGAAGCCGAAGAAUAACGAGAACGGAGGAAAUGAGAGGUAGAGGGAAGGAUUUGGGGCUUUUUAUGUUUUAUUUAUUUUAUUUUUAUUUUGUUUUUAGUCCUCCUACUAAAUUAAUGUCUUUCUUUUUUAUUACUUUUCCGUUUUCCUAUUUGGGCUAUUGUCCUACUCCCAUUUUGUAAUUAUACGCUCUCCCAGCGUGGAUUUGGUUCGGAUGGUUUGUUGCACUUUAUUAUAGCAUUAUUAUAUUAUGGUUCUAUUAAUUUUUUAUCUAUCUCAUAUUCUAAUUUUAAUAAGUUUGAUUUUUUGUAAAAUACAAAAGUUUAGUAAUAAUAAUAUGAGUAAAUUAUAAGAUAAAAAAGAUUAUUAGAUUUACGAUAUAUUUUUUAAAAAUAAAAAUAAUAUACUAUCUGUUUUAUUUAUUCAGAAAAUAAACUGAACUACAAAUAACAAAUAUAAGAUUAUUAGCUCUCAAAAACAAAUAAAAAGAGAAAAAAAUAAAAAAUAAAAAAAUCAAUAAUUCUCAAAAUAGUGGAAAAAAAAUUACAAUAAUUUUAGUACAAGCAGUUCAUUUUGAUAUUAUUCAAUAUUUAUUUCAUAACUUUACAAUAUAUCUAAUGUAUUUUGCUAUACAAAUAUGCAAGAUUGAAGCGUUAUCUUUUUAUUCUUUAUAAUAAAUACAAUAAUUAAUAUACAAUUUAUAUUAAUUUAAACUUUUGUGCACCAAUCGCCUAAUUGUCAAAUGAUCUGUAUAAUAAUAAUCCCAGCCUCAAGUUUAGUGCUGUUGACGUGGGGUCAAAUAGCGUGAUGGUAGAUAAGAAGGGAGUGAGAAUAAAAAUUUAAUCCAUUCGCUCUUCUAUACUACAUACAGCCAGGCUCCGUUAUGUACGGACGCGCCCAGAAGAAUUCAUAUGCGAAGUGUUGCGAACCGUCGGAUCUCCUUAGAAGAAGCCAUCUGAACCGUUCAUUUGGCCAUCCCCCUGGGAAGGAUGAGGCGGUUGAGGUUAGGAUACACAAAACCUUACUAAACCACUUGAUUAGCGGAAAACACCGCCACUUUCAUUAGUGUGGGUAAUGAAAUGUGUGGAAUCUUUUUUAUUUAACGAAGAUACAAAAUAAUUUAUCCAAUCAAAAAAUGAUGUAUAUUGUAUAAUAUCAGUAUAAAGUGUUUAUGUAGACUACAGAGAUAGUUUGUAGAUAGUUUUAUUCCUGAGGUGCGAAUGUUGGAUUCGAUCACUCUUUAAUAAGGGAAAAAGGAUUUUUUUUUUUUUUAAAAAAAGGGAAAAGCGUUGGCGUUGCGUUUGGGCUUUAUUUUUGUCGGUCGGAUGGAAUGUCUAAACCGCAAGGAAGCGGCCACGCAGUUUCGCCACUUUAUUAGUCAAGUCUCAGACAAAAGAAUCCCAGAAGCGUUCACGGAUUUAAAUCGAGUCGCGACAAUAUCCCAACUUAAAGAGUAAGUUACCGACUGUCCCUAAAGUAAGUGACAAAAAACUCGAUAAUUGGUACUUGAGAUUUCAAAUUCGAAUCCUAGUUGGUUCACAUUUUCAGUUAAGUUUAUUUCUAAAUGAAAUAAACGAAACGGAUAGCGUACUAUCUAUCUCUCUCUCUCAAAAAAAAAAAAAAAAAAAAAAAAAGAAGUUAGUAAGUUGAAUCUUAUUUUGCAGGUUCUGAAAAAAUAAACCAAGAUUUGAGACAAGCGAUCCACUUUAAAGACGCUGAUCGCUGAUUCAUCCCACAGAAAAUGAUAGCAGCGCCAAGAAAAAGAACACCAAAUCAUUAAACUUGUUCUGAAUUAAACUCUGCACCACCUGAUGAAACAGAUUUGAGUCCCGGAAGUGCUGAUGUUACUGAGAAUAAACUAUAUAUUUAUAGAAGAAUCAAAUCAAAAGUGUUCAAACAAGAAUAUGUGAAGUUGCCUAUCAGUAACAAAUAUAGUCAAAAACUAUGAGAAAAGGGGGGGAAUUUGAAAGACGAGCUCUCAGGAAUUCCCAUUAUAUACACCAUCUCUUAAGUCUUUAUUGCAUCUUGCAUCCGCUUACAAUCCUUUCGACUGGUCGGCCGUAAUCCGUCUCCCAUACAACCCUCCUCAUCCAUUCUACUUAUGUACUCAUCCCUGUAUAUAGAAGUUUCGUUUCACGAAAAGCCAACUCAGGUUAUAUUUUACAAUUUCAACCCCAACCAGCAUCCAUUCUGACAUUGGGCCGAAGAGGGUCCUCUGAUUCGUCCGAAUUGAAGGAAAAGAUAUCAACAGGCGCACUCGUGCAGUCAUAAGCACGAUUCAUUCGGGACUGGCCAAUUUGGUUACGAUGAUCCAAAUAGAUCACCACCACAGUAAUAUCAUCAUGGAAGUGCCGCCUUAUUCCUUUACCUAUCUUCUUUAUAUCAUUGUAUCUCAUCUCCCUUUUCCUCGCAGCCUCGUUAAGCGCCGCUCUUACUAAUCUCUUUGCUAUUCCCUGCACAAUAUCCCCACAUUUAAACGGUGGUCCGAUGCACAUAAAUAAGUGCCGGAUUGAACUGGCUUCUACAUGAACUUCUCUGCUCUAGAAAGCAAAGGCAUUGGAAUCAAACAUUUGAUUAACAAAGACAUGAGCUUUUGUUCCGGCAAAAAGCCAAAAUAAGAUUUUGGAGACUUAAAUGAAAAGAGCUACUAAUGCUUCUUCGCACAGCUCAACUUCAAUAGAACUUCUAUAGAAGGCCAAUCCCGGACGAACAAGCCCAAACAGAUAACUUCAAAACAAGAGUAAGAGAAAGGAGCUUACCGCUCUAGGGUUCUUGAAGACUAUAUCAACGGCGGCUUCAUCGCUUAGUUGUUCCCAUAGUCCAUCCGAUGCGAAAAUGAGAAACAGGUCAUGUUGUUUAAGUUUACGAAUUUGUAUUGAGGGUUCUGCAGUCAUGACAGGCCGUUUCAGAGGAAGCGGAGAAACAAACUGCUGAAAUAGAGGGUCCCUACUGAAUUCUGGUUUCUUUAAAUAGAUGUCUCCAAUGGAUCUUGAGACCUAUCAAGGAAAGAAUUUUGCUCAUAUUCAUGUUGAGAGUAUUAAAUUAUUGCAAUGGAAAUUUUAUUGGUGCAAGUAAAUUUUGAGGUGGUGGCUCUACUAAGUUUCUACAGAAGAUCCAACAAAAUUAAUAUGAAAGAGAGAUUACGAGGUAUCACGCAAAACAUACAAUACGUGCUCAACAGCUUGAGUACAACCAUCAUACGUCAAGUAUUUGGAAACAACAGAUUAAUCCUAAAAAGGACUAAUAUCUUAAGAAUAUGGGAGGUUGCAAGACAGGCAAGCCUUUAAAAACAACUCUCCGUUAGUUUUUGCUCUUCUCUUAACCCCAUUGGUGGUUUUCUAUACCUAGAAUUGGAACUAGUCAACAAGCCUAUUUCUCUCAUAUGCAGGUAAUCUGAAUUCUACAAUAAGAAAGUGGAAGUUCUAUCGAGUAAAAGUAGAAAGUGGAAAGUUUUGUUGGGCAAAAGCAUGUUAUAUGUAAGCUAAGAACCAAAUGAGACCUGUUUUCUACAACACCUCUAUCAAUCAUUAAGUAUGAAUGGCCCUACAGUUUGCAACAGACUAAUAACAUUUACAUAUACACUACAUCAAAAUUAUAGCACAAGUUGUCCAACCUCCUUUCCUUUUAAAGAAUAUUAUCCUAAAAGAACAUAUUGAAAACCACAAUUGCUUUCCAAAAGAAUAAUAGCAGUUAGUACAAUUAUUUCGAAGAGAAUAAUUAGAUGCAUGCAUGCAUCUGAUAACAGCACAAAACAGCUAUAGAGUUGUGGGAAUUUCAUCCUAGAAAAGAGCAUUACUUUCUUCAACAACGAAAGUCAAGGCAUCUUGACAGAAAACAAAUAAUUGCCAUAAGAAUAAAAAUGCUAGUUGAAACAUUAUCAUCGUAAUCACACUGGGCAUCACAAAUUAUUAGCUCAAAAAGAUAUAGCUAGAACCUAUUGAUGAGAGGAGAAAAUUUCUAAGUAUGUGAAUGAUGAGCCACCUAUUUUUCAGUUUUUAUUUGCAAGCACCAAUCUAGCAGUUGCAAGCAUAAAGCUUACUAAGCAUCCUCCAAACUUUACAUGCCAGAUAAAGUAUAUCGGCAUACCAAUAACGCUACAAAACAACCAAAAUAUGGCUUUGAAAUUGAGUAAUUUGUUUUACCAACUGAAGACGGGCAAAAAGGAGAAGGAUGAAGAAAGCCCACACUAUGAUGCAUUACUCGCACUUAGUUUUAAUUAUUAUGGUUCUAAGCAGAUAACAAAGUUCAAGUGCUCAACAAAUACCUCCUCUGAGGUAAUGCCAGCCAGAAUGCUUACUUGCAUUUUAAAAGUCACAAAUACUUACUAAAGCAUGCAUCUAAUUCUUUAAACCAUCCGUAAUUCAAAUAUUAACGGUUUUUAGGACCGAAAAUUCUUUUAAAAAAAAAUGAAAUAAUACCCAAAACUAGAUCAAAAUUUCAUGUUUUGAUGAAGAAGAAAGAUAAAUUAGCUCUCCCAGGUCGACUUAAUGCACACCGAUAAUAAGUUCUGAAUCAAUUCUUUUCCACCUGUAUCACAUUGAUGAUGCGCCCCAAAGAGAGAUCCUUCUCUCCAAGCGACGAUGUAUACACCUCAAGUUCAAACUACUCAAUCUUUGAUGAGAUAUUUAAGUGAGAACAAAGAAACUCAAACAAAGUGACUACUUUAGCUGCACAAAAAAGAUCUCAACAAAAGCAACCUGAAAUUCAGCUAUAUAAGCAUAAAUUUCACCAUUUGUAUACGCAAAAAGGAAAAUAUGCUUAAUGAGAUCAAAUAAUUUUCCCAAACUCAAAAAUAAAAAAAUAAAAAAAUAAAAAAAUCCUGAACUACAAAUAAAAAUUGGUCGGCAUACCUGAAUGAUUCCCUUAACACGCCAAACCCCACGGCUAUGGACGACGAUAUGCGAGUCGUCAGGGUGGAGCGCGGCGAGCUCCCUCCUCACCUCCUCGACGGCGACAUUGUGGUCGGUGGAGAGCCUCUCGGCCACGACGGCGCGCCCGUCGCCUCCCCUGCGACCGAGCACCGCCCUGGAAUCGCCCAGAUUGGCGACGUAGAGCGUGUCGUCGGCGAUGGCCCCGACGAGGCAACACGACCCGACCGACGCGAUCUGCGGGCGCGCCAGCCACGACCGCUUCACCAGGUGCAGGAACUCCUCCUCCGUCGCGUCGAACGCCUUCUUGAUCACGUCCGCGGACAAUCCCCCCUGCUCCGACGCGAGCCCUAAUUUUGCGACGCAGAGCAAACACCAAAAUUGUUAGACGAGCGAUCUAGGGCGAUCUAGGGCGAUCUAGGGGAAAGAGGGUUCGGGGUUGAUUACGGUCGAGGUGGGGGAAGAGGCGGCUGCUGACGAAGCGGGAGGCCUCGGGGCCGCCAUGGCCGUCGUAGACGCCGACGUAGGUGGCGGAGGGGGAGGUGAGCACCUGGCCCUGGUCCUCGAGCGCCGCGUUCGCUUGCACCACCGCGAUCGAGAACUCCCCCGACGCGUGCGGCUUCAGCUCCAGGUGCCACAGGAGCCCGUCCCCUCCGCCGAACCCUAACCUCCCGAAGCACCUCUCCAACGGUCGAACGCACGAUCGCAACAUCACCUCCUCCUCCUCCUCCUCGUCGUUCUCCCUCUCUCCUAGUUCUCCUAGGGUUUGGGGGGUGGGGGUUUGUGCUUCUCUUUUCUCUUCUCUUCUCUUCUCUUCUCUUAUUAUCGGGAGCGCAACUGGGAAUGUGGGAGACGACGUGUGGAACUAUUCUUAUUCCGACUUUUUCUUAUGUUUAUGUUAUUUCCGCCAACUUAUUCUCAUUCCCCUUAUCCGAAGACGCGGCGCGCAUCACCGUCGGAUCCAGCACGCUCGCGGGGCGUGCGGACGAGAUUGAGUUUCUAAAAUGCGGACGCGAGGGAUUACGCGUCCGCACCGGGCGGCUUCGGUGCGGAUAAAAGGUUCGGCGUGGAUAGCGCGUCGAGGAAGAGUGCCUUUUGGUCGUCGCCCUUGCGCUUUUCUUUCGGGGACGUGUUGAGGAGAGAGUGAAGUUUUUGACUAUAAAUCACACUUUUAGUCCUUAAUUAAUAUUUUGAUUUAUAGUAAUUUUUGACUCAGACUCAGUCUCCUACGCUUUUAAAAGCACGAAAGCAUCCGUGCUUAUAAAUUAUUUUUAAUAAUAAAAUAUUCAAUUCUGCGAUCAGCUCCUUUAGAUAUGAUUUACGCUAUUAGAAUUAUUUAAAAAUUAAAGUUUAUAGUUUUUUAAUUUUGUUUGUUUACGGAGCAAAUAGCCUCAAAAUGAAUCGCUGAAAAUACAAAUUUUAAUAAAAAAAGAAUAAAAAAAAUUUAAAUUUCAAAUUGAAAGUAGAAUUGUUCACUAAAGUUUUAUAUAAUUUGGAUUCUUCUAUCUCAUUAAACUUAUGAACGUUCCGCAUCAACAAAUAAAAUAAUUGUUUUUGAGAUUUUUUGUUUACUUGAUAAAUAAUAUCAAAAAAUUAUAAAAUUUAGUUUUUAAAUAAUUCUAAUAAAUAAUUUAUAUUUAACAGAAUCGACCGUGAAAUCAGAUGUCCCAUCGUCAAAAAUAACUUACAAACACAGAGGUCUUCGUGCUUUCGAAAGGGCAGAAGACGCACUUCUCGUACUUAGUACUUAUUAAAUUAUUACAAUCAAGUUUUAACUUAUUUUAGUUGAGUAAAUACUAACGCAUUGCUAAUAUAAAAAUUAUAUAACAGUAUUAUAAACGAUGAUAGGAUAAUAAUUAAAAUAUAACAGUACUUUUAUAUCAGUAAUAUAUUAAAACUUUAGUCAAAAUAUAAAGCGUAAAAGUUUGAGGAUUAGGACGUGGCAUGCACAUUCUUAUCUUUGGGGAGAGGUAUUAGGGAGUGGGGAUGGGGGGUGACGUGUACCACAGAAAGGCACAUUCUUAUUUUUGGUUUUUUUUUUGAAAAAAGAGAAGUUAAAAUUUGGGAAAAUGCUUAAAUUGGGGAAAUGGAAGUGGUUUGGGGUGCUUGGAAUUGAUUGAUAGGUGCAUUUGGGAUUUGUGGGAAUGGCAUAUGACAGAGAGACAUGCUUUGAGUACGAGAUUAUCCUGAUAAUAUUGUUUUUCAAAAAAAUAAAUAUAAUAUUUAUUUUCAGAAAUUUACUUGAUUACAUAUAGUCGUUCAAAAUUUAAAAUAAAAAAUAGGUGACAUAAGUUUUCCGGCUAUUUAAUCAACUAUUUAAUCCUAAAAUUUGCUGAUUCUUUUUUUUUGCAAUUACAUAAAAUGUUAAUAUAUAAAUUGAAUACUCUUUAAAUGAUAUAGGCAUUGGCUUUUAUUCGUUUAAAAUUGUUAAAAACUAAUACAAUUCAUGCCUACAUUGUUGACCACAGUGAAACAGUCCUAUCUAGAUAUUAACUAUAAACAAAAAUAUUUGGUGGGUUUUCCUCACCACUCCUACCAAGGGUAUAUUGGUAAAUUACUACCGAGGGUAUAUUUUAUUAUAUAUAAUUGAAAAUAAAUGGGUAAAAUUGUAAAGAAGAAUUGUGUUUGUCAAUAACAUUUUGCCUUCGAAAUUUAAGAUAAUUUUUUUUAGUUUAAAAUUUUUAAAGUGCUAGAAUUUAUAGUUGCUUUGUUUAUUUUUACAUAUUUAAUUACUAAAUUUCAUGCAAUUAGCUUAAAAUUUUUAAAAUUAAAGUAUAGUUGACUAAAUCAAAUCUAACUUAUUGAAAGUUUGGAUAGUCAAAUUAGAAUAUGACAGGUUGAAUAGUUAAUUUAAAAUAGUUGAUAAUUUAGACAAAAUCUGUUUGCUUUUAUUAAAUAAAUAAGCAAAAAAAAUAAAUAAAUAAAUAAUUUGUUUUACAAUUAAAGUGUAGUUCACUUGAUCAAAUCUAACAUAUUGAAAGGUUGGAUAGUAAAAUUAGAAUAUGACCGAUUGCUUUUGUUAAAUAAAUAAGCAAAAAAAAUUAUAAAUUUAUUAAAUAAUUUGUUUUAAAAUUAAAGUGUAGUUUACUGAAUCAAAUCUAACGUAUUGAAAGGUUGGAUAGUAAAAUUAGUUUAAAAUUUUAAAAGUGCUAGAAUUUAUAGUUGCGUCGUUUAUUUUUACAUAUUUAAUUACUACAUUUCAUGCAAUUAACUUAAAUUUUUUAAAAUUAAAGUGUCGUUGACUGAAUCAGAUCUAACAUAUUGAAAGUUUGAAUAGUAAAAUUAGAAUAUGACCAAUUGAAUAGUUAAUUUAAAAUAGUUUAUCAUUUAGACAAAAUUUGUUUGCUUUUAUUAAAUAAAUAAGGAAAUAAAAAUAAAAAUUUAUUAAAUAAUUUGUUUUAAAAUUAAAAUGUAGUUUACUGAAUCAAAUCUAACAUAUUGAAAGGUUGGAUAGUAAAAUUAGAUUAUGACCGGUUGAAUAGUUAAUUAAAAAUAGCUUAUAAUUUAGACAAAAUCUGUUUGCUUUUAUUAAAUAAAUAAGCAUAAAAAUUAAAAUUUUAUUAAAUAAUUAGGAAUUUCCAACGUGGAAAUUGGAUGUUCCAGAACCAAAAUACAACCUUCCUCAGAUAUAUGCAGUCCAUACAAUCAUGUGUACUCAUCAUUUGGACCCCUUCGUAUGGAUUUAUCCCUCAUCCAAUCAGAUUUCUUCACGUGGCAUUACUCUGAUCUAAUAUCGUAUCAUCGUAGUGUUAUCUAUUUCCGAUUAAAACCCUAAUAUCGGGAUGAGCAUUAUACGGUCUGAUUCGGUCGAAUCAGUUGUUUGAUUUAGUUUUACAUAUAAUUCGAUUUGGCUCGAUUCUAAAAGCUAAAAGAAUCAGUAAAAAAAAUAUAUAAAAUUUAAGCAAUUCACUAUAUAUAUAUAUUAGUCUUAAAUUAAAAUAUUACGUAUUGGUUUAUAAAUAAUAAUCAAAUAAUUACAUAUAUUAAUUAUUAUUAUUUCGGUUUGGUUCAGCUCGGUUUAUGCAUCUAAUUCAAUUUUUAAAAAAUACAAAUUUUGAACUGAGAUGAUCUCUAUUGAACAUACCAUUAUGUACGACAUUAAUUAGGGAAAAUUUAGAUAAAUAAACUAAAAAAUAUGAUUUUUUUGCACUUAUAUCCUCUGAAAAUAUACAUAUAUCUCCAUAUAUUAAACAAUUUAUCAAAAUUAUUUAAAAUAGUUUGCAUUUAAACUUAAGGUUUAUUGAAAUUUUCUGAUUAGAUGCAAAAAAAAAAUAUUAUAAUUAAUUCUAUUAAUGAAGGACUAGAAAAUCGAAAAUGUGAUAUUUUCAUCUUCUAAGCUUUCGACAAACCAAGAGGUUUCUCCGAGAAACAAAGAGUUAACAGAUUCAACGAAGAGAUGCCUCUUAUAAGUAACGAAGAGAUUAAACCAAAAAACGAAAAGGUUGCUACUAAAAAUGAAUAGAUUUAAUAGAUGAGUGUGAAUUCUGAAUUAAUUUAAGACAAUAAUUACACCAAAAAACGAAAAGGUUGCUCCUAAAAACGAAUAGGUUUAAUAGAGGAGUGUGCAUUUUAAAUUAAUGCAAUAAUAGUAAUAAUUAAUAAAUAUUAGUAAAUAUUUAUAAUUAAAUUUUAAAUUUCUCUAUGUUUUUUCUAUAUAUAAAAAGGUAUUGUCGGCAUAAGCAAUGGCAUCAAUUAGGACUUGAAUAUAAAGAGGUAAAAGACUUUUAGAAGGAGAUAUCUAAAGAGAAAAAAAGACUUUUGGAGGUAGUUAUGCUGAAUAUUACGUAGAUUUAAUAAAUAUUAGUAAAUUUUUAUAAUUAAAUUUUAAAUUUCUCUAUGUUUUUUCUAUAUAUAAAAAGGUAUUGUCGGCAUAAGCAAUGGCAUCAAUUAGGACUUGAAUAUAAAGAGAUAAAAGACUUUUAGAAGGAGAUAUCUAAAGAGAAAAAAAGACUUUUGGAGGUAGUUAUGCUGGAUAUUACUUGGAUUUGAUCAAGUUGUUGAUAUUUAUUUAAUCGGUCUUCAUAAACUUACUUACUGAGCGGUUAGUUUUGAAUAUAUAUAUAUUUUUUUAGUUAAUAUGCAUGCUUUGGUAAAAUUGUUUUUUAGUCAGACUUGUUUGUAUAAAAUAAAAUCAUACUUGUAAUAUUUUUUUUUUAUUUGCUUUCAUAUAUUUCGAUGAUUUGAUGAAUUAACUUUAUAGUAAUCUAUUAUCAAUUUCUAAAUUUAUCUCUUUCCUUUUUUUAUGAUUCUACUUUUUAAAUUUUACUAAAAUUACAAAAUUUUCUUCUCUUCGAUGCCUACUAAUUCUUUAAUUUUUUCUCUUUAUGUAGAAAAUGUCAUUAGCAUAUAGUUAUCUUCAACAUUGGGUUGAUGAUGAGGAAGGUAUGCAGCUGCCAACUGAUAUUUUAAUGGAAAUUUUCACUAGAGUUGAUUUGGCUACUCUAUACUCGUCUCGAGCUAUCUCUUUCUACUUCAACAGAGCAACUUACAUCUUUGAAUUUAUGUUGCGUCGUUGUCAAAGGUUGUCUGGAACAUUUGGUUUGUUUGUACAACAAUUUGAUACAAGCUUACCUGUGGAAUUUACCCCGGCACAUAACGCUUUGGUUUUGCCAAAUUUUAAUUUGGGAUUUAUGCCGGAGAUUGUUCAUAUUCUUUCAUCCUCAUUGAAUGGAUGUUUGUUAUGUUCAAAUAAUAAUCUUCAGUAUCCAAGAUUCUAUAUAUGUCGUCCCACUAGCAAAGAAUGGGUUAAGCUACCUAAUCCUAGGACUAGGUACCACUCCAAAGGUUUUGCUUUGAUCGUGCAUGGGUCCUCACCUCACCACUAUAAAAUUCUACGAUUGUCUUGGUCGCAUUUUCCUAGAUCAAAUAUGGUCGGUGAAUUAUUUGAUUCGGUACAAUGGAAUUGGCAAUGGUGUGGUGAAACUUGCCUAGAUGCAACUCAUUCUUUAGGCUUGGAGGGACCGUUUUCGGUUGGCCGUUAUUUGUAUUGGAUGGUAAAUACUUCUAAGAUCUUUGUGUUUGACUUACGGACUUUUAAUUCGCAUUUCAAAGAACUACCAAACCAAGCUCGCUAUUGUCCUAUAUAUCCUUGCAAAAAAGAGUUGGCGAGUCGCGAUGGAGGCCUUGAUUUACUACAUACUUGUCUCGACACAAUGGAUAUUUGGAACCUACCAUCAUAUAACUCAGCUUGGGUUUUUGUUGCUAGAGCGCGUCUCAGUCCCUUAUUGGUAAACUCUAUAUUCUACAGUACCACGAUUUUUCGAACGUAUAAUAAAAUGUUUAUAGUCUCCGCCGAUGGCAUUUUCUUUAUGGACAUACAUCAUCGUGCUGUUGGGAUUUUAAGCUUGAGUGAUAAUCAUCCAAAUGGAACAGAGAUCUAUAUUUACCAUUCUGCAUUUUCUGGAGAGAGAAUUAUUUGGAACGAAAGAACUCCUUCUGGAUACAAUGGCAACUGGAUUGUUCAAAAUAAUCAGAUUCAGUUACAGUAAUAUAAUAGUUGUUUUUUGUACCUUUCUCAAGCAACAUAUAUAAAUGUUGUUUGAUGAUAUUUCUAGCAUUUUGUUUGCUUUUCUAAAUGUUUCAGUUUUUUUUUUCUUUUUUUUUUGUUUUAUAGUACUGAUGUAUAAAACAUUUUCUAUAUUAAUGCAAAUCUUAAGUUUGACCAAUGCAGUUCACAGUCAUAGGGAAUGCAUUUUUUGUGAUGGGGAAUGUGCGACAUAUGGAUUUUGAGGAAAUAUGAUUAUACGGAUGGACAAAAAAUGUCCAAUUCUUACAGUACCGGUAACCUGUACCAAAAGGACUUGAGUUAGUCAAUUAUAAUUGCCUUUUCAAGCUAUAAAAUAUAUUAGAACACAGAUAUAGGAUUUGUGUAUGACUCCUUAUGGUAUCUAUUUAGAUAUGAAUUGCUUACUUCUUAACAUUUUCUCCCUUUACUACUACAUCUCUUUAAAAUCUAUUUUUUCCGUGCUAUUCCCACUAUCUAAUUUACUCUCACAAUUUCAGUAUAUGUAAAUAAAAGGAUAAAUUAAGAUAUAUUAAUUUAUCAUAGUAUACAAUUCAGUGUGAUGCAAAAGAAAGUUUACUAUAAUUUAUUUUUUCUCUUACUAAGAACACAUACUUAUGUCAUUUACAUUUCAUGUGUUUUUUUCAUAUACUUUAUCCAGUUUAAGAAAUAAUAUUGAAUAAAAUAUUUCUGAUUUAUGAAUUACAGUUAGAUAUAUGCAAUUUAUUAUUAAUAUUUGUAUGCUUACUUCUUGCGUUGUGAUCAUUGCGAGCCAUUGUACUUAAUAAGUCCUUACUGUACUUAUUUAAGCAAGUUUAUAAAACAAUUCUUAAUCAGUACAUUUUUUAACUACUUUUUUAGUACUGAUCAUUGCGAACCAUUGUGUUUAAAAUAUAGUUAAAAAAAAUAAGUACUCUCGUUUUUGAAUUAUAGUUACAUAUAUGCAGUUUAUUAUUAAUAUUUGUAUGCUUAGUUCUUGCAUUUUGAACAUUGCAAACCAUUGUACUUGAUAGAAUAACUAAGCAUACAAAUAUUAAUAAUAAACUGCAUAUAUGUAACUAUAAUUCAAAAACGAGAGUACUUAUCUUUUUAUAAUCGAAAAUUUUCAAAUACCACUAUUGUAUUUUCACAUUUUCUCAUUUUAGUAGCACAAAUUUAGUGCCGUGUGGUUUUAUUUUAAUCUUUUGGUGGGUUUUCCUCACCACUCCUACCAAGGGUAUAUUGGUAAAUUACUACCAAGGGUAUAUUUUGUUAUUUAAAAAUAAUAAAAUAGUUGAGANAACACAUACUUAUGUCAUUUACAUUUCAUGUGUUUUUUUCAUAUACUUUAUCCAGUUUAAGAAAUAAUAUUGAAUAAAAUAUUUCUGAUUUAUGAAUUACAGUUAGAUAUAUGCAAUUUAUUAUUAAUAUUUUGUAUGCUUACUUCUUGCGUUGUGAUCAUUGCGAGCCAUUGUACUUAAUAAGUCUUUACUGUACUUAUUUAAGAAAGUUUAUAAAAUAAUUCUUAAUCAGUACAUUUUUUAACUACUUUUUUAGUACUGAUCAUUGCGAACCAUUGUGUUUAAAAUAUAGUUAAAAAAAAAUAUAGUUAAAAAAAAUAAGUACUCUCAUUUUUGAAUUAUAGUUAUAUAUAUGCAGUUUAUUAUUAAUAUUUGUAUGCUUAGUUCUUGCAUUUUGAACAUUGCAAACCAUUGUACUUGAUAGAAUAAGUACUGUGAUAGACUUUCUUUUUAUAAUCGAAAAUUUUCAAAUACCACUAUUGUAUUUUCACAUUUUCUCAUUUUAGUAGCACAAAUUUAGUGCCGUGUGGUUUUAUUUUAAUCUUUUUGAUAUCAAAUCCACUAAAUUUUUUCGUUAAAUCAGUGACAAAGUUAAAACUAUAACAACAAAAAAUUGGUGGGUUUUCCUCACCACUCCUACCAAGGGUAUAUUGGUAAAUUACUACCAAGGGUAUAUUUUGUUAUUUAAAAAUAAUAAAAUAGUUGAGAACGUAGGCAAUAGUUUUUCCUUUGAAAAUAAAUGGGUAAAAUUGUAAAGAAGAUUUGUGUUUGUCAAUAACAUUGUGCCUUCGAAAUUUAAGAUAAUUUUUUUAGUUCAAAAUUUUUAAAGUGCUAGAAUUUAUAGUUGCGUUGUUUAUUUUUACAUAUUUAAUUACUAAAUUUCGUGCAAUUAGCUUAAAUUUUUUAAAAUUAAAGUGUAGUUGACUAAAUCAAAUCUAACUUAUUGAAAGUUUGGAUACUCAAAUUAGAAUAUGACUGGUUGAAUAGUUAAUUUAAAAUAGUUGAUAAUUUAGAGAAAAUCUGUUUGCUUUUAAUAAAUAAAUAAUCAAAAAAAUAAAAAAAUAUUAAAUAAUUUGUUUUAAAAUUAAAGUGUAGUUCGCUGAAUCAAAUCUUACAUAUUGAAAGGUUGGAUGUCUAAUUUUAUAAUUUAUACAAAAUCUGUUUCUGAAAGGUUAGAUAGUAAAAUUAGAAUAUGACCGAUUGCUUUUGUUAAAUAAAUAAGCGAAAAAAAUAAAAAAAAAUAGUAAAUAAUUUGUUCUACUAAUAAUACUUGUACUUGCUCUGCUAUUCUGCCCAAGCCUGGCUGAGGAAGAGUUACGGGGAGUAAAACACAAAUAUGCUGAUUCCGGCCUUGGUUACUAUAUGUAAUGCUCGAAUUAUUCACGAUAAAUAAAAAGAAAAAGUAAGACCAUUCCAUUUCGACAAAAGAUCAUACCCAAGUUCAAUAGCUUUGCGUCCGCUAUCCCGAUCAUGAUUUUCCUACCCCCAGAGGUAAAGUAAGGGGCCUUCCCUUUUGGGAAGGCUGUUGGCGAGGAGGGAUUCGAACCCCCGACACCGUGGUUCGUAGCCACGUGCUCUAAUCCUCUGAGCUACAGGCCCCACCCCGUCUCCACUGGAUCUGUUCCCGGGAGUACCCUCAAAAAGGAACCUUUCCUCUCCUCAGCCAUUUCGGGUUAAGAAGAUGUGAAAGCGCCUUUCUCUCUAUAAGAACAGUGCGUUUCGAGGUGUGAAGUGGGAGAGAAGAGAUGUCAUAAUUGAGGUUUUGAAUAAGACGACCUUUGCAUUUUGGAUUUUGAUCUUUUUCGUAUUGAAAAAUAUUUUCAAAGUCAAAUAAGAGGUGUUAAGCUUUUUAUCAUUCUGGCGUCGAGCUAUUUUUCCGCAGGACCUCCCCUACAGUAUCGUCACCGCAGUUCAAAUCUAACAUAUUGAAAGGUUGGAUAGUAAAAUUAGUUUAAAAUUUUAAAAGUGCUAGAAUUUAUAGUUGCGUCGUUUAUUUUUACAUAUUUAAUUACUACAUUUCAUGCAAUUAACUUAAAUUUUUUAAAAUUAAAGUGUGGUUGACUGAAUCAAAUCUAAUAUAUUGAAAGUUUGAAUAGUAAAAUUAGAAUAUGACCAAUUGAAUAGUUAAUUAAAAAUAGUUUAUCAUUUAGACUAAAUUUGUUUGCUUUUAUUAAAUAAAUAAGGAAAUAAAAAUAAAAGUUUAUUAAAUAAUUUGUUUUAAAAUUAAAAUGUAGUUCACUGAAUCAAAUCUAACAUAUUGAAAGGUUGGAUAGUAAAAUUAGAUUAUGACCGGUUGAAUAGUUAAUUAAAAAUAGCUUAUAAUUUAGACAAAAUCUGUUUGCUUUUAUUAAAUAAAUAUGCAUAAAAAUUAAAAUUUUAUUAAAUAAUUAGGAAUUUCCAACGUGGAAAUUGGAUGUUCCAUAACCAAAAUACAACCUUCCUCAGAUAUAUGCAUUCCAUACAAUCAUGUGUACUCAUCAUUUGGACCCCUUCAUAUGGAUUUAUCCCUCAUCCAAUCAGAUUCCUUCACGUGGCAUUACUCUGAUCUAAUAUCGUAUCAUCGUAGUGUUAUCUAUUUCCGAUUAAAACCGUAAUAUCGGGAUGCGCAUUAUACGGUCUGAUUCGGUCGAAUCAGUUGUUUGAUUUAGUUUUAUAUAUAAUUCGAUUUGGAUCGAUUCUAAAAACUAAAAGAAAAAAAAAUAAAAUAAAAUUUUAGCAAUUCAAUAUAUAUAUAUAUAUAAUUAUAUAUAUAUAAAUUAAAAUCAAAUUAUAGCAUUUAAGUGAUAGUUAAGAGAAUUAAGCAUAUUAGAACUAGAAUAGUCAUAGAAUGAAUGAGUAACUAGAAAGCGAUAUAUAUUAGUCUUAAAUUAAAAUAUUACGUAUUGGUUUAUAAUAAUAAAUUAAUUCGAUAUAUUAAUUAUUAUUAUUUCGGUUUGGUUCAGCUCGGUUUAUGCCUCUAACUCGGCUCGUCUUCGUUUUUUAAAAAAUUACAAAAUUGAACUGAGAUGAUUUCUAUUGAACAUACUAUUAUGUAGGACCUUAAUUAGGGAAAAUUAAGAUAAAUAAACUAAUAAAAUUGAAUUUUUUUGCACUUAUAUUCUCUGAAAAUAUACAUAUAUCUUCAUAUAUUAAACAAUUUAUCAAAAUUAUUUAAAAUAUUUGCAUUUAAUUAAAGCCCUAAUAUGGGGAUGAGCAUUGUACGGUCUGAUUCGAUCGAAAUCAGUUCUUUUAUUUAGUUUUAUAUAUAAUUCGAUUUGGUUCAAUUCUAAAAAUUAAAAAAACAGUAAAACAAAUAUAAUUGAACAAACUAAAAUUUUAACAAUUCAAUAUAUAUUAGUAAAAGUAAAAAAAAAACAGUAAAAUAAAUUAUAAUGGAACAAACUAAAAUUUUAGCAAUUCAGUAUAUAUUAGUCUUAAAUUAAAAUAUAUUACGUAUUGGUUUAUAAAUAAUAAUCAAAUAAUUAGAUAUAUUAAUUAUUAUUGGUUCAGUUUGGUUCAGAUCGGUUUAUGCCUCUAAUUCUGUUUUUAAAAAAUUUCAAAAUUUUAACUGAGAUGAUCUCUAUUGAACAUACCAUUAUGUACGACAUUAAUUAGGGAAAAUUUAGAUAAAUAAACUAAAAAUUAUGAUUUUUUUGCACUUAUAUUCUCUGAAAAUAUACAUAUAUCUCCAUAUAUUAAACAAUUUAUCAAAAUUAUUUAAAAUAGUUUGCAUUUAAACUUAAGGUUUAUUGAAAUUUUCUGAUUAGAUGCAAAAAAAAAAAAAUUAUAAUUAAUUCUAUUAAUGAAGGACUAGAAAAUCGAAAAUGUGAUAUUUUAUAUUUGCUAUUUAAAAUUUUAAAUUUUCAUAAUUAAUCAUUUCAAUUUUAUCAAUUUAAAGUGACUAGCAUUAGUCAUAUGGCCAGAAAAUAAUAAAAGAUUAGCAUGCCGGUGAUACAGAUAAAUCUUUUUAGGGGCAAUUGCUUAUAUUUUAGGGUUUAGGGUUUAGGGUUUGGAGGAGAUGCAUAUUCUCAAACAAACGAAGAGGUUUCUCCAAGAAACAAAGAGCUAACAAAUUCGACGAAGAGAUACCUCUUCUAAGAAACAAAAAGAUUAACCCAAAAAACGAAAAGGUUGCUCCUAAAAACGAAUAGAUUUAAUAGAUGAGUGUGAAUUUUGGAUUGAUUUAAUACAAUAAUUACACCAAAAAACGUAAAGGUUGCUCCUAAAAACGAAUAGGUUUAAUAGAGGAGUGUGCAUUUUGAAUUAAUGCAAUAUAGUAAUAAAUAUUAAAUAUUAGUAAAUAUUUAUAAUUAAAUUUUUAAUUUCUUAUUAUUGUUUCAGAUUGGUUCAGAUCGGUUUAUGCCUCUAAUUCAAUUUUUAAAAAAUUACAAAUUUUGAACUGAGAUGAUCUCUAUUGAACAUACCAUUAUGUACGACAUUAAUUAGGGAAAAUUUAGAUAAAUAAACUAAAAAUUAUGAUUUUUUUGCACUUAUAUCCUCUGAAAAUAUACAUAUAUCUCCAUAUAUUAAACAAAUUAGCAAAAUUAUUUAAAAUAGUUUGCAUUUAAACUUAAUGUUUAUUAAAAUUUUCUGAUUUGAUGCAAUAAAAAAUAUUUUAAUUAAUUCUAUUAAUGAAGGACUAGAAAAUCGAAAAUGUGAUAUUUUAUAUUUGCUAUUUUAAAUUUUAAAUUUUCAUAAUUAAUCAUUUCAAUUUUAUCAAUUUAAAGUGACUAGCAUUAGUCAUAUGGCCAGAAAAUAAUAAAAGAUUAGCAUGCCGGUGAUACAGAUAAAUCUUUUUAGGUGCAAUUGCUUAUAUUUUAGGGUUUAGGGUUUAGGGUUUAGGAUUUAGGGUUUGGAGGAGAUGCAUAUUCUCCAACAAACGAAGAGGUUUCUCCAAGAAACAAAGAGCUAACAAAUUCGACGAAGAGAUACCUCUUCUAAGAAACGAAGAGAUUAAACCAAAAAACGAAAAGGUUGCUCCUAAAAACGAAUAGAUUUAAUAGAUGAGUGUGAAUUUUGGAUUGAUUUAAUACAAUAAUUACACAAAAAAACGGAAAGGUUGCUCCUAAAAACGAAUAGGUUUAAUAGAUGAGUGUGCAUUUUGAAUUAAUGCAAUAAUAGUAAUAAAUAUUAAAUAUUAGUAAAUAUUUAUAAUUAAAUUUUUAAUUUCUCUAUGUUUUUUCUAUAUAUAAGAAGUUAUUGUCGGCAUAAACAAUGGCAUCAAUUAGGACUUGAAUAUAAAGAGAAAAAAGACAUUUAGAAAGAGAUAUCUAAAGAGAAAAAAAGACUUUUGGAGGUAGUUAUGCUGAAUAUUACGUAGAUUUGAUCAAGUUGGUGAUAUUUAUUUAAUCGGUCUUCAUACACUUACUUACUGAGCGGUUAGUUUUGAAAUUUUUUUUUUAUUUUUAAGUUAAUAUGCAUGCUUUGGUAAAAUUGUUUUUUAGUCAGACUUGUUUGUAUAAAUUUAGUGCUCUGUGGUUUUAUUUUAAUCUUUUUGUUAUCAAAUCCACUAAAAUUUUUCGUUAUAUCAGUGACAAAGUUAAAACUUAAGGAUAGUUAAGUAAUUAUUCGACAAAUCUAUGUGGGGUAUCUAAAUUUUUUUUUUAUAUAAUUUAAUAAAAUACUAACGAAAAAACUAAUGAAAAAAAAAGAACACUAACUUCAUAUACUUUAAACAAUUGGGUUCUAAAGUGAGAAAGUGUUAAAUCACAUGAAUAAUAUUUGAAGGUUAUUUUUGUAUAAUUUAUAUAUAUUAUAUAUUAUUAAAAAAUUAUCUUUUUAAUUAUUUAAAAAUUAUGAGCUUUGCUUACCAUGUCUAUGCUAUCACUAUUAACUAGAUUUGAUCAUUUAUUUAUAUUUUUUUCAGGAACCCUUCACAUGAAGUUUGUUAGUGUAGCCUUAUCGAAACUAAUUUAUUUGGAAAAUAUUCCACAUAAAUUAAUUUGAAAAUCAAGUACUAUUUAUUUCUUACCCUUCCGGAAGCUAACAUGUCAGUAACUUUUCUUAAAUUUGGCCAUUCUUUAGUUAGUCUUUUAAUGACAAUAACAUAAAUAUUGACAUUAUUAGUUAAUUAAUUUAUUUGUCGCAUUGCAUUAACUUUAUGAGAAUCUCUCUUCGUUUUGUAUAUAUUACGCAAUGUAUGCAGUUAAAUAGUUAUUAAAGGUUUAUUUUUGUUCUUUUAUUUGUAGGUAUGGAUAAACAAAAAGAAAAAACAACAAAAGAAAAAAAAAAUCAAGCUAAACGAGAACGCUAUGCAGGCAUGCCACAUGAGAAAAAGAUGGAAUUUCUAGCUAAAAGGCGUGAGGCAUAUCAUCGCAAGAAAUAUGAACGCUCAGUUCAGUCAAAUCAUCCCACUUCUGAUAAUAAUCCUACAACUCAUAUGAGCUUAGCAAAUAGUAGUGCAAGUAAGUCCAUACACUCUUUCUUAAAUUUUUUUGUUUUUUCAAUAUACUCAGAGUAUAGUUUUUUUUAAAAUUAUAUUUAUUGUUAUCUAAACACACAAAUUUUGUUGACGCAUAUAGGUUGUGAAAAUACAGUAACCGAUGUCAUUGAAUCUGUAAUCGGCAUUAAAGAUGGUGAGACAACUAAACAUUUUAAUUCUUCUGGAUAUGAAAAAGGUAAUAUAGAUUAUGAUUUAGUCUACUUAGCCAUAAUUAUUACAAGGGAUAAUUGUCUAUAUGUACCCCUCAUACGUUUUAAAAUAUCCGAUUUAUCUCUACUCUUUUUUUUUUUUUUUCUGAAAUACCCCUUAUAUGUUCCGCCAUUAUUAUAAAAUACCCCCGCAGUUAUCUCCUGUUAGGUUAACUUGGAUGAAACGUUAGUUAAAUAUGUACCACAGUUAAAAAAAAUUGAAUUGAUAAUUUUGCCCUUAACUUAAGGGUAAAUAAGAAAUAUUGGUGAUGAUAGAGGGGUAUAUUGGAAAAGAUCAAAAGUCAAAAUAUUUUUUUUGCCCCUGACUUUACGGGCAAAUAAAAAAAUCAAUGAUGGUGGAAGGGUAUAUUUGAUAGGGCAAAAAAUGUAAUUUUACAGAGAUAACAAAUUUUAUUAACAAAUUUUAACUUUAGGUGUAUAUUAGAAAUAUGUUUGAACGUAGAAAGGGUAUUUUUAAUAUUAGCCUUCUGAGAGGGGUAAAACGAAAAGUCAGAAACUUUUUAGGGAUAUAUAAGCAAUUGUCCCUUAUUAGAAUUUUUUUUUUCGUUUGUAGUUAAUAAUUAAUUGUAGUUGCUUUUACUGUGUCUAAUUUUUUUUGCUUUGGAAUGCGAUGACAAAUGAAUGAUUACUGCAGAACAAAUUCAUACCUCCGCUGAACAUAGUAACUUGGAUGAACAAUCAAAGAUAGCAGCGAAGCAAAAAGGUUUAGCUUUUAAUCCUGGUACGUUAUUUGUACAUAUGGUAUUCUCUUUGUUAAAUCUAUUUUAAACUAUAAUUAACUAUUUGGUCGUUAAAUAUUUUUAGGAAAAUCCGAUACUGUUUUUUUAGUACUAAUUAUUUAUCUAUGCAUUUUUAUGAAAAUUAUGCCUACUGAUUUCAUUCAGCAAGCAGGCGCAAAAAGAAUAGAGAUCUUAAAAGAAAACAAUAUGCAAAUAUGUCGGAUGAACAAAAACAUCAAAUGCUGUUGAAAAAGCGAUUAGCCCACCGACAAAAAAAACUGAAAUUGUUGAACAUCGAUACCGAAUUAUGCACAGGGGAAAGUAGACAAGAUAUCAAUGAACAUGGUAAAUUAUGUAAAUUUUAUAAGAAUUUAAUUUAAAAUGAAUUCUUUUAUAGGGUUAACAAAACUAAAUUGUCUAAUUAGGUAGCACUUCGGAAGACCUUUGUAGUAGCGACAAGUAUUUUAUUGAUAGAUCGUCUCGUAGAAGAAGACAAAUGUUGCUUACUAUUUAUGAGGAAUGUGUCAUCAAAGAUGAUGGUGAAUGCAAACAUUGCAAAGCAAAACGAUUACAGUUUGAACCACCAACAUUUUGUUGUUACAAUGGAGAAGUGGUUUUGCAUAUUACCCCGAUGCCCCAAGUACUAUUGGAUUUAUAUACUUCGGACUCAAAAGAAUCAAUUGAGUUUCGUGAUUGCAUUCGUGCAUACAAUAGUAUCUUCUCUUUUUCGUCUAUGGGUGCUAAAUUAGAUAAGAAAGUUGCAAAUAUGAAGCAAGGCAUAUAUACGUUUAAAGUGCAAGGGCAAGUUCAUCACUAUGUGUCAAGCUUGUACCCGAGUGAUCAUCACGCUAAAUUUCUUCAGCUAUACUUUUAUGACACGGAGCAUGAAGUAGAAAAUCGAAUGCGCCAUAUGCCGGAUUUGAAUAAGAAUGUCAUUGAGGAAUUGAUAGCAAUCCUUAGUAUUAAUCCGUACUCUAUGUUCUUACGGAGAUUACAAAGCAUGCCAUCAUUAAAAGAUUAUACUAUUUCUAUACGAAAAGAUGGUGGAUUAGAUCAACGUAUAUACAAUGCUCCUUCGGCUUCUCAAGUUGCAGCUGUAUGGAUUGAAGGCAACGAUCUUGAAGGAAGAUACACGAGAGAUAUCAUAGUUCACGGGCAUUCAAAUAAGUCUUACAAAGUGGAGCCUUACUUCGGUUGUUAUGAUCCACUGCAAUAUCCUUUGUUAUUUCCAUUAGGCCAAUCUGGAUGGCAUAAAAAUAUAUCAAGAAAUAUAAGAAAAAGAAAAUCUCAAUGUAUUGAUUCAGUCUUAGCCGUCAACAUAACAAACAGUUAUCAAGAUUUUGAAGAAAUCUUACAAAGAGAGAAAGGUAAUAAAUAAAAUAUCAUAAAUCCUUUAUGUAUUUAACGAUGUCAAUGGGUAUGGAUAACCGAAAUUUUACCGAACUGGAAUCUGAAAGGAACAAAAUUAUACGAUACUAAAUGGAUAUGGUUUCGAAUAUGGAUAUCAAAAACAGAUAGACAUGGAUACGGAUAUGGAUUUUGACUGUGCCCGACCAGAAACUGAACCCAACAUGAACCAAAACUUAUUUUACAUUCUGAUAAUAUGUAUAUGAAAAAUUGAUGUUAUAUUUGAAUUAAUAUAAUAUAUUUUGAAAUAUUGAAAAGAGAAAAAAAAAAGAUUUAAUAUAAUAUAUUUUGAAAUAUUUAAAAGAGAAAUAAUUGUUUCAGUUUAGAAUUUUCUUGUUCGGGUUCGGGUUCGGGUUAAGGGUUAGCAGUCAUGUUCUUACUUAGGUUUUUAAAAAUCUACACCAAAUUCAACCCGUUGACAUCCCGAUAUAUAUUACUAACUAAUACAUUUCAUUUUACAUAUUAGUUUACGUUUUUUUGGUCUUUGGUUUUUAGUUCAUGCUGGUCAAAAAGAGAAAGGUGUAUCUUGUAGAGAAUAUUAUUGCUACAUAUUGCAAAUACGUGAAGAACCAAAGACCUCGAUUCUUUAUGGAGGCCGAUUGUUACAACAGUUUGUGGUUGAUAUGUAUAUAAAGAUAGAGACGACACGCUUAGACUACUUCUAUGCAAAUCAAGACAAAAUUCGUGCUGAAUUAUAUCAGGGAAUUGUUGAUAGUGUAAAUGCCGGUGAAACAAGAGGUGACAAGAUUGGAAAAAGAAUAGUAUUGCCUGCUUCUUUUAUUGGAGGUCCUCGUGAUAUGAGACAACGUUAUUUAAAUGCGAUGGCCUUAGUACAUCGAUUUGGAAAACCAGAUAUAUUCCUCACAAUAACAUGAAAUCCAGAAUGGGAAGAGAUCGCUAAAUUAUUACAACCCUGGGAAAAGGCAUUUAAUAGACCAGAUAUAACAACACGUGUUUUUCGGGCGAAACUUGAAGAUCUUAAGAGAAAACUUUUUAAGGAACAAAUAUUUGGAAGAGUCGUUGCUCAUGUACACGUAAUCGAAUUUCAAAAGAGAGGACUGCCACAUGCUCACUUUCUUAUUAUUUUGCAUGAAGAAGAUAAAAUUAUAAGUCCAGAUGACUAUGAUCAUAUAGUAUGUGCUGAAAUCCCGGAUCCUAAUGAAGAUCCGAUACUUUAUGAGCGAGUGGUAAAACAUAUGAUGCAUGGACCAUGUGGAGAUUUACGGAAGUCGUCUCCGUGUAUGUUGGAAAAUAAAUGCAAGUUUCACUAUCCAAAACAUUUCUCGAAAAUUUCAGCACAAGGUAAAAAUUCAUAUCCAAUGUACCGGAGAAGAAAUAAUGGAAGACAAGUACAGGUUCGAAAUAGUUUUUUAGAUAAUAGAUGGGUUGUACCGUACAAUCCAUAUUUACUAAAAAGAUACAAUUGUCACAUAAAUAUGGAAAUAUGUUCGCAUAUAUCUGCAGUGAAAUACUUAUAUAAAUAUAUAUAUAAAGGUCAUGAUCGUGUUUCUGUUCUUAUACAUUGUGAGGAUAAUGGCAAAAAAGUUGACGAGAUAAAGCAGUUUCAAGAAGCAAGGUGGAUUUCACCACCUGAAGCUAUGUGGAGAAUUUAUGAAUUUAAUUUAAAUGAGAUUUAUCCAUCUGUGGUAUCUUUGCAGCUGCAUUUGCCAAAUAGGCAAUUGGUUACUUAUUGGAAAAAUAAAAGUUUGAGACAUCUUCUUCAGGAUGACCAAGUGAAGAAAACUAUGUUGACAGAGUUUUUUAUAAUGAAUUUACAUAGUUGUGAAAGUCGGAGGCUUCUCUAUAGAGAAUUUCCUGAGCACUUUGUUUGGAAUAAAGAUGCUCUUUCAUGGAGUCCACGAAAAAAAAAGAGAGCAAUAGGUAGAGUAAGUGCUGCUAACCCAUCCGAAGGUGAGAGAUACUACUUGAGAAUCCUUCUAAAUCAUGUUAGAGGUCCAACCUCAUUUGAUUAUUUAUUAACUGUGAAUAAUAUUCGAUAUUUAAGUUUUAGAGAAGCUGCUGAAAAACUAGGAAUCUUAGAAUGUGAUAAUGCAAUUUUUUGUUUAGAGGAAGCGGCGAUAUAUCAAAUGCCAUUUGCUCUUCGUAGACUUUUUGCAACUAUUCUAGCAUAUUGUGAACCGACUGACAUUAAUGGAUUGUGGAAAAAAUUCUUGCCUCAUAUGUCUGAAGAUUACAUUCAUUGCAAUUCUUUGUCUUCGGAACAACGAUUAUUAAAGAUAUUAGAAGAAAUAAAUAAUUUUCUAGAGAGCAUGGGCCGAACUAUUUCAGAAUUUGAUUUGCCUAAGUUUCCAAUCGAGGAGAAUAUGAGUGGUAGACAACCGAGAGAAUUACUCGAUGAGAUGUCAAUUAUAACACCGGAUAUGGAUAUUCAAGCAUAUCAAAUGCUAAACCAUUGUCAGAAAAAUGCUUUUGAUAUAAUAAUUGAUAGGGUAAAUGGUCAAAGAGGUGGUUUGUUUUUUGUAGAUGGUCCAGGAGGAACAGGUAAGACAUUUCUAUAUUGUGCAUUGUUGGCUUAUGUUAGAUCAAGAGGAUCCAUUGCUCUUGCAACAGCAACAUGUGGUGUUGCAGCGUCUAUCCUUCCUGGUGGCCGCACGUGUCAUUCAAGAUUUAAAAUACCACUUGAUGUUAAUGACUCAAGCAUGUGCAAUAUUAAAAAGCAAAGUGGAUUAGCUCAACUAAUACGUGUAGCUAAAUUGAUCAUUUGGGAUGAAACUCCGAUGUCAAAGAAAUUAGCAAUUGAAGCUCUGGAUCGCUCUCUUCAAGAUGUAAUGGAUUGUGAUUUACCAUUUGGUGGUAAAGUGAUCGUUUUUGGUGGAGAUUUUAGACAAGUUCUUCCUGUAGUUCGUAAAGGUUCACGUGCAGAAAUUGUCAACAAUUGUUUAGUAAAAUCAUAUUUAUGGCCAUUGAUGGAGAGAUUACAGUUGGAAGAAAAUAUGCGAGCGAAGAAUGAUCCUGACUAUUGUGAUUUCUUACUUCGUGUUGGUGAUGGCAUAGAGCAUUAUGUCUUUGAUGACAUGAUUGAAAUUCCAAAUGAAAUGCUCAUUCCUUUUGAUAAUAUAGAAAGCUCAAAACAAAUGUUAAUUACACAGUGUUUCCGUCACUUCAUGAAAAGAGUCAUUGUCCAAAAUAUAUAUCAGAAAGAGCAAUUUUAGCCACCAAGAAUGAAUAUGUAGAUGAUCUAAAUGAGACUAUUAUCAACGGAUUUCCAGGUGAAGAAGUGACAUAUUAUAGUUUUGAUGCUCCGACUGAUGAAAAAAAAUCAAUUUACCAGCCAGAAUUUUUAAAUAAUUUGACUCCAAAUGGUUUACCUCCGCACAAAUUGAUUUUGAAAGUGAAUUGCCCUGUAAUUCUAUUAAGAAAUUUAGAUCCGACAAAUGGUUUGUGCAACGGAACAAGAUUAAUAUGCAAAGAUUUUCAACGGAAUGUUAUACGUGCAACUAUAGCAGUUGGUCAACAUUCAGGAAAAGAGGUUUUGCUGCCGCGAAUUCCCUUAUGCCCAGCUGAAAAUGAAGGUUACCCUUUUUCCUUUAAGAGAAAACAAUUUCCUAUUAGGUUGGCAUUUGCUAUGACAAUAAAUAAAGCUCAAGGACAAACAAUACCAUAUGUGGGAAUUUUUUUACCAGAGAAUGUCUUUUCUCAUGGACAACUUUAUGUUGCAUUGUCCAGAGGGGUUUGUAAGUUAACUACUAAAUUGUUGAUCUAUCCAACAACUGGUGAUGAUAGGAAUCAGUAUACAAAAAAUGUUGUUUAUACUGAAAUUUAUGACGCAUUCCGUACUAAGUGACAGAAUUCCUCAUUUUCGAAAGUAAGUAUUUCUAUGUUUAUAUGAUUAUUUUAAAUUAUAUACUAUGCGAUAUACAUGCUAAAUUCUUAUUCUUGAUUAGGGUUUAUAUCUACAGAAACGGAGCCUAAUGGCGAAUUUCACUUGGUUUCUUCGUUGCAUCCAAAUUCAGAGAAUUGGACGUUGAGGUGCCAAUUAUUGCAUAAUGGAAACGUUCAUUUUUACAACAAUACUAAUGGUUUUGGAUCAGUAAAAAAAAUUAUCCUUAUUGAUGAAGAGGUAUGGUUUAGAACAGUUUUAUUAAAUGAUCAUGUUGUAUAUAAUUAAAAUGAUUACAUUUUUACUAUCCAUUAAAUUAAUAUUCGUUUUCUAUUUUUUAACAGGGAAUGCGGAUUCAGGCAGUUAUGUUUAAUGAAACUAUUAAACAUUUUGAAAAAAUGCUGCAUAAAGGAAAUUUCUAUUAUGUAUCCAAUGCAAUUAUUAAGGAAGCCUCGGAAAAAUAUAAUAGUGGAAGUACAAAAUAUGAGAUCAUCAUUGACAAAAGAAGUAGACUGAUUGAGAACGAUGAUUUUGAAUUUAGAAAUCCUAUGAAGUUCAACUUCGUGUAUCUUAAUGCAUUACAUGCCUAUAUAACUGGAGACAAACUUAUAGGUAUAUAUCAAAAAAUAAAUUAUUACAUCUUUAUAUUCUUCAACCUAAUAUUUUUACUUUUUUCUAGAUGUUAUUGUUGUAGUUAUUGCAAUAGGAGAUCCGAUCACUGCCAUUAAAAAGUCAGAUGGAUCAGAAAUCGUGCGUCGAGAGUUGACAAUAAUUGACCAUUUGUAAGUAACAACAACUUAAUGAAACAAUAAUUUUUACUAUGUUUGUAUUGUUAUUGCAACAGCUGCUACUAGAGCACUAAUACCUUUUAAUGCAUUUCACUUGUAACAGAUCACCAUCUUCUGUCAAACUAAUUUUGUGGGGAAAUUUAACAAUUGUCGAAGGUGACAUUAUCAAGAAGGUGAUUCAAGAUAGGCCUAUUUUAAUUGCAACUUCCCUAAAAGUACAAAACUUCAAAGGUAAAAAAUUUUAUAUAAUCAAAUAUGUGCUUCUGAUAUAAAAUUUUGCAAUCAUAACAUUUAAGUUUUGAAUUUUUUUCGCUAAUCAUCAGGCAUUUCGCUUUCUACGACAUCAAAUACAAUGCUCGAAAUUAAUCCAUCAAUAAAGGAAGCAAAAGAUUUAACAGAAUGGUAAAUAUAAACGCAAUAUAUGAAUAAUUAACAUAUGUAUUAGUUACUAUUUACUUCUUUGAAUGUAUACUGUAGGAUUUCGAAAAGCUUAUUUGACACCGAUGAGAUGAACAAAAUACAAAAUAUGACGAAUGCGGUCAGAAUGAAAAAUGAAAGAGCUACUAUUAAGGAGAUUACUGGAGAUCUUGUUAAUGCAUCUAAACAGGUAUGUUGUUCUUUUUAUUUGUAUACCAAAAAAUUUAAAUUUUGAUGAUAUAUUAUUUCCAGUUAUGGGAGUUAAAAAUAAAAGUGGUGGAGUUAAACAAAAAACAAGAUCCUUGGUACAUUGCUUGUAAGGGAUGCCACAAGAAAAUUACAGAAAUUACUGGUCUUCAACAGUGCAAAUUCUGUCCCAAUUCAGAUACUGAUGUUGAAUAUAGGUAAUAUUAGCGAUAUUAUUUUCUUAUAUGUUAAAGUUAGAUAAAAAUCUAAGUGCUUGUUAAUAUUUUUACAGGUUUAUGUUUCGUUUAAAAGUUGCUGAUGAUACUGGCGAGCUUUGGGUAUCUCUGUUUCAUAAGGAAGUAGGGCAACUGUUGAGUUGCAACGUUAAUGAACUUCGGCAAUUAAAGGUACCACACGUAUUAUAAUAAUACAAAAAAAAAUUUAAUAAAUUUACUUACUAUUUGUCGUUCAAUUUUGCAGGAAUAUAAUAUUGACCAAUUUGUGAGGAAAUUAGAAAGUUGCUUGAAAAAAUCAUACUUACUAACUAUUAAAGUUGCAGAGGCCAAAAGAGGUGACGUAAUUACUUACAACUAUACAGGCAUAUCAAUUGAGAAACUUGAUGGACAAGAAGAUGAAUCAAUCGGAAACAAGAUUUUCCCUCAAAGUCAUAUUCAACAUGAUAUCCUUGAAACUAAUGAAGAAACUGAAUCAACAAUAAGUCAGAAUUUUUCUCCAAAUUAUACUCAGCGAAAAAUUCUUGAAGACGAUGAAGAAGCUUUAGUGAUGAAUAUUACCGAGUCAAAGUUUUCUCGCCUUCGGAAAAGAAAGAUGAUCAUCGAUGACGAAGAAUAAGACAAUGGAAUUAAAAGGAACUUAACUCUUCUUUAUUUACUUCAUUUCGUUUCUGACUAUUGUCAUAUAUUUUGCUAUAUUUUGCUAUAUUAUCUAUUCAUAAUACUUACGUGUAUUUUGUUUAUACGUUGUAAUAUUUGAUACUUUUCUUUAAUUUGAUCCUACUAUUUAAAUAUAUUAUUUAUUCAGAAAUUUAUUAAUAAUUUUAAUUAUAUUAGGAAGAAUAACACGUGCAACGCACGUGCAUUGCCUAGUAUUUUAAAAAAACUCAAAAUAGUUAAAAUAUAUAUAUAUAGAGUCCGGCUACUAUGCUAUUAAUAGCACAAAGCACUCGAUGCUACCAAGUUUUCCGCCGUUAGAUUUAUCCUUGUGAUCAUUUUCACCCGUUAGAUCAUACUAUUCAACCAACCACCCACUCAACCCUAAAGGGCCCACAUCAUCCUAACCGCACAUCUUUUAAUCCAAUGACCAAAAACUUGGUAGCACCAGUGACUUGGUGCUAUUAAUAGCAUAGUGCCUAUAUUUAUAUAUAUAUAUAUAUAAUAAUAAUUAUAUAUAUAUAUAUAUAUAUAUAGUAGGGCUACUGUGUUAUUAGGAGCACAGCAGUCCUUGUGCUCCUAAGUUUUUAACGCCCAUCAAAUUUGAUGGUGGUUAGGGUGAAAGAGAUAAGAAAAUUGAAGAGAAAUUCAAAGAGAAGAGAAAUUGAGAAACCCAAUUCUCUUCAAUUUCUCUUUUCUCUUUUAUCCUAACCACCAUCAAAUUGAUGGCGGUUAAGAACUUAGGAGCAUAAGGGCUGCUAUGUCCUAAUAGGCACAGAUUAGUCCUACUAUAUAUAUAUAUAUAUAUAUAUAUAUAUUUGUCUCUUGUCAAUCUAUUUGCUGUUUCACAUAGUGCAUCAUAACAAUUUUUUGGAAGCAAAAUAAUGCUCAUGCAAUAUUUGUCAUGGACUAAGAUUAAUUUCUAGUCACUUUCAUGGAAGAAGACCUAACCCUAACUUGACAGUUGCAUAUAAUUUGAUACAUAUCAGAGAAACUUAGGUAUCUAAACCUUGUCCAAAUAUAGAGAAACAUAAUGGAGUCCAGCUAUAAAUCCAAAUAUGUAGAUAUAUAUAGGUAGUGAGUGGUUAUUGAUGUGUUUGUUUUUGUGCACAAACCUAAUAUGAUAAGAUCAUAGACACCCAAAUAAUCAAUAUGAGAAUGAACUCAGCCAUAAGCCUCAUGGAAAGAGUUGACACAAAACCAUUUUGUUUCAAGUUAAAAAAAUUUAGAUAUUUUUAAUUUCAUGUAAAAAUAAAUAGUCAAUAGGAUGUCAUGAGUAUUAAUGCAUUUCACCUGAACAAGUCUGAUUUAGACUUUUCACUUAUGUGAAAAAGGAUUACUAUCUUAGAAUAUGGGAAACUUAAUUGACCGUAUCUGAUGCAAUUGGUUAAAAACUUGAUGGUUGGUACUAGAGAUCUCAAGUACGAAACUUAAUUAUUUUACAUUUCUAUCAAAGUUUAUUUCUAAAAAAAAUACUAACUAACUAGCUAGUUCUUAGCAUAACUUGUUAUCUUAUAAAUUAUUUAGUCGAAUAUAAUUAUAAAUGCAAUACCAACCAAUUGGCUAGUUCUUCGCAUAACUUGUUAUCUUAUGAAUUGUUCAAUCGAAUAUAAUUAUAGAUAAAGUAUAGUUGAAUAUGUAUGUACUUAAAAGGUAAUAGCUAUAACUAUAUAUGACUUAUGGAUAUAUGCAGGGGUGGAGCCAUAAAGGGGCCCACAGUAGCCAUGGCCCCUCCAAAUUUUUUAAAAUUACAUAAAAAUUUUUUAUAAUAAAAAUUAAAAUAUUAUAAAUUUUAAAUUUAGGAGGUCAAAUUAUUUUUUUUAAUAAAAUUUAUGUCUCAAAUUUUUUCGAUUUUUUUGGUCAUUUUCCUUCAACUCUUACAAUCUUGUUUUUCUUUUAGCAUAUUAUCGUUAUUGUUGCUAGUAAUAACUGCUCAGUGAAUCUGACAAAUUUUUUUUCUUAUUAUUCGAGAUCAAAUUUUUUUUUCUAUUAAAUUUAAAUUUUGGCCCUUCGGAUCUUAAUUUCUGAUUUUGUCCCUGAAUAUAUGUGUUAGUUAUGGAAUUUAUCACAAACUACGAACAUUUUAUUUCAUUCGCAAGUCACAAGAAUACACCAAGCUCGAAGAAAAUAUGUACAAACUUUCCAAGGGCACCACGAUAAACCUAUGAGUGCAUUAAUUAAUGACUCGGUGAAAUCAACUAAUUCUUUAAUCGCAAUGGUCCCUCCCACUAAUAAAUAGUAAAACGACAUUCUACCGUGUCUACUUUGCAUUUUGUCGAACACGUAAUCAGCAGAGAGUAAGUCAUUAAUGGCGACAACAACUGAUGCCGAGACUAAUACUUUGAAUUGGCUCACAUACUUAUUAUUUGAGACGACUCAAGUCAACGACAGUCAAAACUAGUGGCCCGCUUAUCUUGGACAAAAGUUUUUCUUUUGGGCAUAGUCUUCAACCUAAUUAAUUUGGAGAUUAUGCGAAUCGGCACCACGUGGCCGAUCAGACGGUCAUGGAUGAAAAGAAAAAAAAAGAGCCCUCUAUUUUUAGAGAGAGAAAAAAAGCAUCUGAGAAAUGCACCCGUCGGAUCGGCCACGUGGCGUCGAUCCGUAUAGUCCCCAAACUAUAAAAUUUUUGUCCGCUUAUCUUUUUGGGUAAAAAAAAAACUACAAAGCACCUUAAUGAACUUUUAUAAUUUCACCCAAAAAAAAAUACAAUAAUUUUAUAUACUUCAUAGGACGAUGGUAAAAAAUUGUGGAUCUGAUCCUAUGUGCAAGUUUCAAUUAAUAAUAAUCAGAAUAUGUAACAGUUGACCAUUUCAAUCACUCCAACAGUUGGAUGGUGGGAUUUUUUUUUUUUUUUUGAAAAAUAGAUAGCACGCUAUCCGCUUUAUUUAUUUUAUUUAAAAAUAAAACUUAGCUGGAAAUGUAAAUCAACUAGAAUUCGAAUUUGGGUCUCAGAUAUCAACUACCAAAUCCUUUGCCAUUUGCUCUAGGGACGGUCGCGAGUUGGAUGGUGGGAUUAAUCAAUGUAAUGGUGGCAUUUACACAACAUUCUUAUUCUUUUGUUAUGUUAAAGCUUCUAACCCUAUAAUUUUUUUUUUUCAAAAUCUAAAUCUAAAUUUUUGCAAAUUUGAUAUUUUUAUUUGACAUGUGUACAACGGAAAAAAUAUAUUUUGUAAACUAAACAUGUAAUGGGUUAAUAGUUAUCUCGGACUUGUACGGUAGCGAAGUUUUUUAGCUUAAUUACGUUUAAAACGCUUUAAACUUACGUGCAGGCUAAAGGCAAUAUUGAGCCAAAAUAUUAAAAGAGAGAAGCAUGCACAAAUAUAUUUUAACAAAAUAACAAAAAUUAUAUAUUAUUAAUUAAAAAAUACAAAUAAAAUUUUCUUAUUAUGCUUUUCUUACUACACGAAGUAUAUAUAAUUUUUGUAAUAUCAAGCAGAUUAUGAAUCGGUGAUAAAUCAUAUUUUUGUGCAUAGAAAUGCUCCGACAUCUGCAACUUUGAGAGCAAUUAUAUCCGUACAUCGUAAGAUUAGAGGUGCAUUUACACCUUAUUCAUUCGAAAUUUAUUUUUUUUAGUCUUAUCAAAUUUUUAUUUUUAUUAAAAUCUAUUUAAAUUUCUAUGAAUCUUAAAAUAAAAGAGGUAUAGCAUGCAUUUUUUUUAUAAAAUAACAUAAGAUAAUUAAAGAACCGAGGUGUGGCCACCUUAGCUUGGCAGAGAAGGAGAAGAAGAUUAAACAUUCGAAAUACUUGUGUCUGAUCAUAUGAGGAGCAUUGUAUUGUUUUUUGGGGAAAUUUUAAAUACUCUCACUGUGGUUUCGCACUUUUUUUACUUUAGUAUUUUGUAGUUUAAAGUGUAUUAAUUUGCCCCCGUGGUUUUAUUUUUCUCUUUUUAUUAUCAAUUUUUUUUUUUAAUCAGCGAUAAAGUUAAAAUUAAAGAGUACUAAAAUAAAUAUUUAAUAAAUCUAGAUGGGUAUCCGAAGUUUUUUAUAUAUAAUUUAAUAAAAUAUUAAAAAAAAAGCGAUUGAAAAGAUAAAAAUAAAACCACCGAGGAUAAAUUGAUACAGUUUAAACUCCAGAAAAGUUUUUGAAUUAUUUCCUUGCUUUUUUACAAAGAAAUUAAAAGAACGUGAAAUGUUCCUGACGUGAAUUAUAAAUAGUUACUUCACACGAAAUAAAUGCGCACGAUGCUCUCUGUGUCUCUGAGUGUCAGAGACGCACUUGGCAAAUUGCAAAGCAAAAGUAGCAGGUCCUCUACGUCGUCAACGCUGUUGGUUUUUAUUUAUGAUAAUAACACGUGUCGAUGAUGUGGUUGAUGUAAGUCCUCAUUUUUUUAAUAUAAUAAUAAUAAUAAUAAUAAUAAUAUAUAAGUAGGUUCAUAGGCCCACCAUGUUCGUGGGCCAUGAACAACAAUAAGCCCAAAAUAGCUCAAAUAGAGCUUACUGGGCCUCUAGACCUUUGUAGACCUCCAUAACCUGAUAGUUCAGUCCGAGUCCGACACUUCGGGAACAAAUUAGCCGGCACAAACCGACCGCCCCUAGUGCGGAUGAUUAGGACGGAUGACAAAGAAUUUAAUGAUUAAUAUUUAGAAAUUCAUGUUCGAAAUCUAAUUGGCGGUGAGAAAACUGAAUCAUAGUAACUUCUAUUCCAAGCCAAUUAAAAGAUCAUAGGAGGACGCAUCAUAAUUCAUUAACUUCUCGAGAGAUGCCCAAUCACGUGACCCUGCCUUAUAUUGUUCAUCACUAGUAGUUAGAUGGUCGCAUCAAGUUGUUUAUUUUUCCUGAAACAGCAUUUGGUGAAAAAGUCAAUAAAAAUGCACAAUAGUGACUGCUUUAGCCUUUAUUGCUUAAAAAACAUACAUGAAUUUAGAAACAGUUUGCCAACACCAAAGUCAACGAUGUGAUUUGUAUUUACAAUGCAAGCCUAAAACACAGUAAUAGAGAGACUAUGGGGCAGAAUAGGUUUCAGCCACACAAACUAAACCGUAAAAACACAGAUUAAUACAAGCAAUGCACACGGCAAAGUGGAUCCAUCUCCGUUCACGCAAUAUACGCGAUGAGAGUCGCGAUGAGAGUAAAACCAACGCCGCUAGAUUACUAACAGUUAAAGUACCAACAAAUACACCCUAAUCAGCAAUGUCAAGAAACCCAUCAUGCAAAGUCAAAAUACAAACAUUGCACUUCGUUUGCUCCAGUACACGAGCAUCACUUUUGUUCGGGGUAAGAGGAUGUGUAAAUCCAGUAAGCCGACUCCCGGCGGAGGGCAAAAUUUCAGUCUUAAGAUCACAUAUUACAACAGAGAGAACGAUAGAAAGAAAAGCUAGAGCGCAUACGGCAUUUACAACGGCACUCGAGUAGUAAAAGUGAGGGACAAGACAAAACGAGCACUAGGGUUAAAAGGUUUCAGUAGCUGUACCAUUCAUUCUGUGGCUGGGAGAGCUAUACUUGUCCUACAAUACGGGCAAUCACCGUGAGCCUCUACCCACCGCUCAACGCAAUUAGAGUGAAAAGUAUGCCCGCAACGCAGUUGGGUCAACCUGUCCCCAUCUGAAAAACUCUCGAGGCAUAUACAACAUUCAGCUGCUGCUUCGAUAAGUCCGCUUUCUUUUGUCUCACCGCGAUCUAGAGUUUGGAGCCUUAAAAGAGCUUCGGAACGAAGAAAAGGAGGCUUAUUCCUCAUCCCACAUAAAGGCUGUAUUUGGCGACAAGAUGGCACGGUAGAGAGACAGCCACAGCACUCUAACAGAUCCUGUACACCUAUUGCUUCGCUAUUUACUGAGCGGAUGAGAUUACAUUUA